Molecule: transfer RNA, 85 nt
Filed under: Patescibacteria group bacterium
Lineage: Bacteria
Description: tRNA-Ser
Rfam family: tRNA
About the family: Transfer RNA (tRNA) molecules are approximately 80 nucleotides in length. Their secondary structure includes four short double-helical elements and three loops (D, anti-codon, and T loops).
Source: RNAcentral
GGAUCGGUGGUCGAGUGGCCGAUGGCGCCCGGUUGCUAACCGGGAGGACUUAACCGUCCCGAGGGUUCGAAUCCCUCCCGAUCCG